UGCUCAGCAACUCCUAUCCCUACCUCCUCGCGGUACUGGCCAAGGUACGAGUAACCUUAGGGAAGAUCGGGUUGCCAACCCCGGUGGGAACUCGUAUGCUGACAGGAAAGG
This is a non-coding RNA of Aedes aegypti (yellow fever mosquito), 111 nucleotides long. The record is from Rfam. NCBI's taxonomy places the organism in Eukaryota, Metazoa, Arthropoda, Insecta, Diptera, Culicidae.